This 1392-nucleotide ribosomal RNA is filed under the name uncultured marine bacterium. RNAcentral describes it as "bacterial SSU rRNA". It matches the Rfam family "Bacterial small subunit ribosomal RNA". The record is from RNAcentral.
GAGUUUGAUCCUGGCUCAGGAUGAACGCUAGCGGCAGGCCUAAUACAUGCAAGUCGAGGGGUAACAGAGAGUGCUUGCACUUUGCUGACGACCGGCGCACGGGUGAGUAACGCGUAUGCAACCUACCUUUUACUGGGGAAUAGUCAAGAGAAAUUUUGAAUAAUACCCCAUACGAUCUUUAAAUAUCAUUAUUUUUAGAAGAAAACUUCGGUGGUAAAAGAUGGGCAUGCGUCCUAUUAGUUUGUUGGUAAGGUAAUGGCUUACCAAGACUUCGAUAGGUAGGGGCCCUGAGAGGGGGAUCCCCCACACUGGUACUGAGACACGGACCAGACUUCUACGGAAGGCAGCAGUAAGGAAUAUUGGACAAUGGAGGAAACUCUGAUCCAGCCAUGCCGCGUGCAGGAUGAAUGCCCUAUGGGUUGUAAACUGCUUUUAUACAGGAAGAAACCUUUGUACGUGUACAAAGCUGACGGUACUGUAAGAAUAAGGAUCGGCUAACUCCGUGCCACCAGCCGCGGUAAUACGGAGGAUCCAAGCGUUAUCCGGAAUUAUUGGGUUUAAAGGGUCCGUAGGUGGUUUAUUAAGUCAGAGGUGAAAUACUGCAGCUUAACUGUAGAACUGCCUUUGAAACUGAUAGACUUGAGUUAUUGUGAAGUAGUUAGAAUGUGUAGUGUAGCGGUGAAAUGCAUAGAUAUUACACAGAAUACCAAUUGCGAAGGCAGAUUACUAAUAGUACACUGACACUGAUGGACGAAAGCGUGGGUAGCGAACGGGAUUAGAUACCCCGGUAGUCCACGCCGUAAGCGAUGGUCACUAGCUGUUCGGACUUUAUGUCUGAGUGGCUAAGCGAAAGUGAUAAGUGACCCACCUGGGGGAGUACGUUCGCAAGAAUGAAACUCAAAGGAAUUGACGGGGGCCCGCACAAGCGGUGGAGCAUGUGGUUUAAUUCGAUGAUACGCGAGGAACCUUACCAGGGCUUAAAUGUAAGUUGCAUAAGUUAGAGAUAGCUUUUUNUUCGGACUACUUACAAGGUGCUGCAUGGUUGUCGUCAGCUCGUGCCGUGAGGUGUCAGGUUAAGUCCUAUAACGAGCGCAACCCCUGUUGUUAGUUGCCAUCGAGUAAUGUCGGGAACUCUAACAAGACUGCCGGUGCAAACCGAGAGGAAGGUGGGGAUGACGUCAAAUCAUCACGGCCCUUACGUCCUGGGCUACACACGUGCUACAAUGGCCGGUACAGAGAGCAGCCACUACGCGAGUAGGAGCGAAUCUAUAAAACCGGUCUCAGUUCGGAUCGGAGUCUGCAACUCGACUCCGUGAAGCUGGAAUCGCUAGUAAUCGGAUAUCAGCCAUGAUCCGGUGAAUACGUUCCCGGGCCUUGUACUCACCGCCCGUC